RNAcentral lists this ribosomal RNA (597 nucleotides) under fungal sp. ARIZ L210. RNAcentral describes it as "eukaryotic LSU rRNA". The stretch from base 228 to 381 matches the Rfam family "5.8S ribosomal RNA". The record is from RNAcentral. Lineage: Eukaryota; Fungi.
UGGAAGUAAAAGUCGUAACAAGGUCUCCGUUGGUGAACCAGCGGAGGGAUCAUUACUGAGUUUACGCUCUAUAACCCUUUGUGAACAUACCUAUAACUGUUGCUUCGGCGGGUAGGGUCUCCGCGACCCUCCCGGCCUCCCGCCUCCGGGCGGGUCGGCGCCCGCCGGAGGAUAACCAAACUCUGAUUUAACGACGUUUCUUCUGAGUGGUACAAGCAAAUAAUCAAAACUUUUAACAACGGAUCUCUUGGUUCUGGCAUCGAUGAAGAACGCAGCGAAAUGCGAUAAGUAAUGUGAAUUGCAGAAUUCAGUGAAUCAUCGAAUCUUUGAACGCACAUUGCGCCCGCCAGCAUUCUGGCGGGCAUGCCUGUUCGAGCGUCAUUUCAACCCUCAAGCUCUGCUUGGUGUUGGGGCCCUACAGCUGAUGUAGGCCCUCAAAGGUAGUGGCGGACCCUCCCGGAGCCUCCUUUGCGUAGUAACUUUACGUCUCGCACUGGGAUCCGGAGGGACUCUUGCCGUAAAACCCCCCAAUUUUCCAAAGGUUGACCUCGGAUCANGUAGGAAUACCCGCUGAACUUAAGCAUAUCAAUAAGCGGA